AGCAUGAUUCCAUCAAUUCUAUCUUUUGGAGCAGUAGAUGUGGUGGAUGAUGAAGAUGAAAUGGUCCGAAUAAUGGAAUGGUUCAAGCUUGAGUCUGAUUUCGGAUAACACUUACUAAGUCGGACUGGCGACUUUAAAACUAGCGCUUGGUGGGAGGCAACCCACUGUUGGUUUAGUUCUUGUUUUUGUUUUUCUUUUUUUUGUUUUCCGUUUUUGUUCCGUUUCCAAGUCUUUGGUUGCUUGUUCGGUUGCUAUGACUCUUGGUGUUAAUCUUUUUGUUUCCAGCGCUGGAAUUCCCCUCUGACAUUGCUGCCAGCGCUGCAAUUCUACUAUGACCUUGCCGCCAGCGCUGAAGAAUGCUAGCGCUACGCAGUCCAGCGCUGCCGUUUCUACUCUGCAAAAGGCCGCAAACCUCAUUUUUCACCGCCUCUCACAAUGCUUCAGCUUUUCAAUGCCGAUAAUCAGGGAUGUUUUCUAAACUCUUUUUCUUUUGUGCCUUGAGGACAUGGCAUGCUUUAAGUGUGGGGGGGAGGUGUUUUGUUGUGCUUAUGCUUUCAUUUGGGCGAGAUUAGUCUUUCUAUGCUUAGUUUUUUUCUUUGAUUCUU
This 605-nucleotide long non-coding RNA is filed under the name Salvia miltiorrhiza (redroot sage). RNAcentral's name for it is "long non-coding RNA (SMIL_LNC012845)". Lineage: Eukaryota; Viridiplantae; Streptophyta; Magnoliopsida; Lamiales; Lamiaceae. The record is from RNAcentral.